AAUCAACGUUGGCGGCGCGCCUAACACAUGCAAGUCGAACGAGAAAGUGGAGCAAUCCAUGAGUAAAGUGGCGUACGGGUGAGUAACACGUGGGUAAUCUACCUCUUGGUGGGGAAUAACGCUGGGAAACUGGCGCUAAUACCGCAUAAGUUCGUAAGAAGAAAGUCGCAAGACGCCGAGAGAGGAGCCCGCGGCCGAUUAGCUAGUUGGUAGGGUAAAAGCCUACCAAGGCUAUGAUCGGUAGCCGGCCUGAGAGGGCACACGGCCACACUGGCACUGAAACACGGGCCAGACUCCUACGGGAGGCAGCAGUGGGGAAUCUUGCACAAUGGGGGAAACCCUGAUGCAGCGACGCCGCGUGAGUGAUGAAGCCCUUCGGGGUGUAAAGCUCUUUUCGACAGGAACGAUAAUGACGGUACCUGGAGAAGAAGCUGCGGCUAACUACGUG
Molecule: ribosomal RNA, 448 nt
Filed under: uncultured bacterium
Lineage: Bacteria
Description: bacterial SSU rRNA
Rfam family: Bacterial small subunit ribosomal RNA
Source: RNAcentral